ACGCUCGACACCUACGGGAGACAGCAGUGGGGAAUAUUGCACAAUGGGGGAAACCCUGAUGCAGCGACGCCGCGUGAGUGAAGAAGUAUUUCGGUAUGUAAAGCUCUAUCAGCAGGGAAGAAGAUGACGGUACCUGAGUAAGAAGCCCCGGCUAACUACGUGCCGGCAGCCGCGGUAAUCUGAGCGGGCUGGCAAGGC
This 198-nucleotide ribosomal RNA is filed under the name uncultured bacterium. RNAcentral's name for it is "partial 16S ribosomal RNA". It matches the Rfam family "Bacterial small subunit ribosomal RNA", at positions 328 to 539 of the family's 1533-position model. The record is from RNAcentral.